Molecule: long non-coding RNA, 692 nt
Organism: Chenopodium quinoa (quinoa)
Lineage: Eukaryota; Viridiplantae; Streptophyta; Magnoliopsida; Caryophyllales; Amaranthaceae
Exons: 3
Source: RefSeq, a predicted model, not a curated record
GGCAAUUGAAUGACCUCCCUUGUUUUUCCAGGCGCCGCUUCAUUUUCUCUCUCUCUUCUUCCGCAUUGUCUCUCUUUACCUUCGAAUUCUCUCCAAGGCGAUUUUUCGCGAUCUGCACUCUUCGCUUGCGCUCAUUGAUUUGUCAAAUUCUUCGAUUUUGAUCUUCAAUUACUUCGUAUUCUUCGAUUUUUGUCAUUCAUUGAGAGUAAUCCAAUGUCAGACACACAAGUUGGUGCUGCAAUGUCAAUUUCUUGGUUUGGUACCACCACAUGCUUUCAACUGCUAGUUCAUCCAAGGUAGUGAUUGUGCGGGCUGGGUGUCGUGGCUCAAAACAAGAUGGAUAGAUUGUGUGGACUGCUUUAUGAUGCAUGUCAGAUAUGCAGCAGAGCAAGGUUUAGGCUCCUUGUGGCUCGUACAUUGGAUGUGAAGCGAAUAUGGUUGGAAGGAGAUGUAAUUUUUGUGUUUUUUAGGUUAAUGCUAGCACUAGAACUGCUGUUAGAAGUUCUGUAAACUACAUUAAUAUCAAAUGUAAGAGUAAAGUCUCAGUUUUCAGGGAUCUCUAGUCCAGUGCAUUUCAAUUUGUUUUGUGUACGGUAAAAAUGUGCUUUGAUUUCAAACUUUUUGUUAUCUAAGAAAACUAAAACUUCUCUUUGUUAGUUUGUCACAAUAUGGAAAUUUUUAGAUGAGUGUCC